UUCUUUUUCAUCAUUCUCUUCUUCGCCUGCGUGUACAUAUAUCAGGUCUCUUCUUCGCCUCGUAACCAUGACCUAACCUGAACAUUCCCAACCAGCAAAAUCGGCAACGACGAGGCAAUUCCCACGACGCGCAAGACGAACCAAUAACCACCUGUCGGCGACCAAAUAUCCGACACAAUCGAUUUCCAUGUGUACUUGUUGGGAUGAAAGUUUACUGAAAUGAGUGGAAUCGGAAAAGAGGUUUGGUUGAUUCAAAUUUUAGUUGGAUUUGGGAUCAACCUAAAUGCGAACUACGAGAGGAGUAGAGGACAGUGGCAAAGAAAACAGAAAGAAGGUGCGGGGCAGAAUCAAGGAGCUAAGAAAGAAUGUCGCAACAGCUGAAAGAUUGGCCGCCCAAUAUGGCCAGAAAAGGGAUAGACACUGAGCCCCGCAGGAAUAGAAAGAAAGAUAAUAUUUGUUCGGAAAUCCUAAGUUAUUUAGGGAGAAAAAAGACCUGAACAUGGGUAGUGGAUGUGAGCUUAGUAUCAAAAUCCAAAGCGUGGAUGCCCUCGUAUGGAAGACUUUAGUUACUAGACUAUACAAUGCGAAAGUUAAUGAAGACAUGCUCGGUAGAUUGAGGCGAUUCGGGGAAAGAUUCGGAGUGCAUGUCCCAGAUCCCGGAAGGAAGUGACGUAUCUCCAUCAACGCUGAUGAUGCUGUAGAAGAGUUUGAACAAUGACUGCGCUGGGUUUGGUCGAGUGACUGGGAUUAUUAGGGACCUAAAUAAAGGAUCAUUAGGGACCCAAUUGAUAUGGCUAUGAUGGAAUGUUGUUUAUGAUUAUUCUCUCCACAAUGCUUUGUGGUGGAAUUCGUAUGCAUUGGGCAUUGAGGUUGUGUCAUCUUCAAGUUUCCGAAUGAUGGAAGCUUAUAAAGCACUAUGCUUGAAAAUGAAGUGAUUCGAAAAAGGAGCUUAUGCUCGUAGUUGGCCAACAUGUUUAACCUUGGUGAAGCUUCACUCCCCAUCAUAUCAUAGCUUGUACCUGUGGUACUGCGACUGCAUCGAUGUCAUCUCUUACAAGUAAUUUGGGUAUCUGUCCUUUAAAUGUUAGCCUUUUUUUAUUGUUGUUGCCAUUCUUUUUCUACUCAAAUGAAUAUUUAAGACGAGUGUGCUGGAGGCGCUGUCCUUUAAAUCUAUUAUAUGGAGCAAACUACACAAUCCACUCUGA
Molecule: long non-coding RNA, 1205 nt
Organism: Cornus florida
Lineage: Eukaryota; Viridiplantae; Streptophyta; Magnoliopsida; Cornales; Cornaceae
Exons: 4
Source: RefSeq, a predicted model, not a curated record